AGAGUUUGAUCCUGGCUCAGGACGAACGCUGGCGGCGUGCUUAACACAUGCAAGUCGAGCGAGGCCCCUCCUUCGGGAGGGUGUCCUAGCGGCGAACGGGUGAGUAACACGUGGGCAACCUGCCCUCAGCUCUGGGAUAACCCCGGGAAACCGGGGCUAAUACCGGAUACGACCUCCACGGGCAUCUGCGGAGGUGGAAAGGUUUUCCGGCUGAGGAUGGGCCCGCGGCCUAUCAGCUAGUUGGUGGGGUGAUGGCCCACCAAGGCGACGACGGGUAGCCGGCCUGAGAGGGCGACCGGCCACACUGGGACUGAGACACGGCCCAGACUCCUACGGGAGGCAGCAGUGGGGAAUAUUGCGCAAUGGGCGAAAGCCUGACGCAGCGACGCCGCGUGAGGGACGAAGGCCUUCGGGUUGUAAACCUCUUUCAGCAGGGACGAAGCGAGAGUGACGGUACCUGCAGAAGAAGCACCGGCCAACUACGUGCCAGCAGCCGCGGUAAUAC
This 505-nucleotide ribosomal RNA is filed under the name uncultured bacterium. Its description in RNAcentral is "bacterial SSU rRNA". It matches the Rfam family "Bacterial small subunit ribosomal RNA", at positions 8 to 526 of the family's 1533-position model. The record is from RNAcentral.